ACGAACGCUGGCGGCAUGCCUAACACAUGCAAGUCGAACGAUCCCUUCGGGGAUAGUGGCGCACGGGUGCGUAACGCGUGGGAACCUGCCCUUAGGUUCGGAAUAACUCAGAGAAAUUUGAGCUAAUACCGGAUAAUGUCUUCGGACCAAAGAUUUAUCGCCUUUGGAUGGGCCCGCGUUGGAUUAGCUAGUUGGUGGGGUAAAGGCCUACCAAGGCGACGAUCCAUAGCUGGUCUGAGAGGAUGAUCAUCCACACUGGGACUGAGACACGGCCCAGACUCCUACGGGAGGCAGCAGUGGGGAAUAUUGGACAAUGGGCGAAAGCCUGAUCCAGCAAUGCCGCGUGAGUGAUGAAGGCCUUAGGGUUGUAAAGCUCUUUUACCCGGGAUGAUAAUGACAGUACCGGGAGAAUAAGCCCCGGCUAACUCCGUG
RNAcentral lists this ribosomal RNA (432 nucleotides) under uncultured bacterium. RNAcentral describes it as "partial 16S ribosomal RNA". It matches the Rfam family "Bacterial small subunit ribosomal RNA", at positions 29 to 507 of the family's 1533-position model. The record is from RNAcentral.